UAACCUUAUCACAUGAGUUACUAAGCUAAAUAAUACCAAUUAGAUAUAUAUUGCGCUGUUAAACUCAAAAUAUUUCAGUUGUUUCUGACGAGUUGAACCAAACAAUACUAGAAUCAUGAGGGCAAAUAUUUUGUUCACUGUAACCUUGUGCAUAGCAAGCUCGAUUGCGUUGCCCACUUCAAAUGUGAAGCCAAUUAGCAACUUUGACAACUGUUUCGAAAUUUUGAUAAACUCUACUGCUGAAGAGUACAUGACCAAUAAUAAAAUAGUGGAAGAAUGUGCAGCCACAGGCUGUCAGGAACAGAUCAAAGCUAUCGAGCAAGAAAACAAAGGCUUAAUGGCUAUGUACAUUUAUGGUAUAUCAAUGAAUACUGAUUGCCUCCCAGGAUGCAACGGCAAUAAAGAAUGCGAAGAGAGCUGCGUUGCCACGUAUGACAAUCUACUGCAAGGAUGUGUGAUAGACCUCAACGUAAUGAUCAAUAUGAGUCUCGGUAAAAUGCUGGACACAUGUCCUAAAGUAAGCGAAUGCGCUCGCUCCGCUUACGAUAUAUUUGUCAAUAAGAAGAUAAUUGCUGCACGUAGAGAAUUUGUCAGUUGUUUGUCAGUUUAAUUUGUUUCUUUUUAAAUUAAAAAAUCAAUAAAUAUAUGGAAAUAAAUAAUA
Molecule: long non-coding RNA, 661 nt
Organism: Dalotia coriaria
Lineage: Eukaryota; Metazoa; Arthropoda; Insecta; Coleoptera; Staphylinidae
Exons: 2
Source: RefSeq, a predicted model, not a curated record